GAUGAACGCUGGCGGCGUGCUUAACACAUGCAAGUCGAACGAUGAACCUCACUUGUGGGGGGAUUAGUGGCGCACGGGUGAGUAACACGUGAGUAACCUGCCCUUGACUCUGGGAUAAGCCUGGGAAACCGGGUCUAAUACUGGAUACGACCUUCUGGCGCAUGCCAUGUUGGUGGAAAGCUUUUGUGGUUUUGGAUGGACUCGCGGCCUAUCAGCUUGUUGGUGGGGUAAUGGCCUACCAAGGCGACGACGGGUAGCCGGCCUGAGAGGGUGACCGGCCACACUGGGACUGAGACACGGCCCAGACUCCUACGGGAGGCAGCAGUGGGGAAUAUUGCACAAUGGGCGCAAGCCUGAUGCAGCGACGCCGCGUGAGGGAUGAAGGCCUUCGGGUUGUAAACCUCUUUCAGUAGGGAAGAAGCCGGCUUUUGGGUUGGUGACGGUACCUGCAGAAGAAGCGCCGGCUAACUACGUG
Molecule: ribosomal RNA, 475 nt
Filed under: uncultured bacterium
Lineage: Bacteria
Description: partial 16S ribosomal RNA
Rfam family: Bacterial small subunit ribosomal RNA
Source: RNAcentral